UUCCUACGGGUGGCUGCAGUGGGGAAUCUUGCGCAAUGGGCGAAAGCCUGACGCAGCCAUGCCGCGUGAAUGAUGAAGGUCUUAGGAUUGUAAAAUUCUUUCACCGGGGACGAUAAUGACGGUACCCGGAGAAGAAGCCCCGGCUAACUUCGUGCCAGCAGCCGCGGUAAUACGAAGGGGGCUAGCGUUGCUCGGAAUUACUGGGCGUAAAGGGCGCGUAGGCGGAUCGUUUAGUCAGAGGUGAAAUCCCAGGGCUCAACCCUGGAAUUGCCUUUGAUACUGGCGAUCUUGAGUGUGAGAGAGGUAUGUGGAACUCCGAGUGUAGAGGUGAAAUUCGUAGAUAUUCGGAAGAACACCAGUGGCGAAGGCGACAUACUGGCUCAUUACUGACGCUGAGGCGCGAAAGCGUGGGGAGCAAACAGGAUUAGAUACCCCAGUAGUCCA
RNAcentral lists this ribosomal RNA (444 nucleotides) under uncultured Caulobacteraceae bacterium. RNAcentral describes it as "bacterial SSU rRNA". It matches the Rfam family "Bacterial small subunit ribosomal RNA", at positions 336 to 797 of the family's 1533-position model. Lineage: Bacteria; Pseudomonadati; Pseudomonadota; Alphaproteobacteria; Caulobacterales; Caulobacteraceae. The record is from RNAcentral.